This 503-nucleotide ribosomal RNA is filed under the name uncultured bacterium. Its description in RNAcentral is "bacterial SSU rRNA". It matches the Rfam family "Bacterial small subunit ribosomal RNA", at positions 30 to 507 of the family's 1533-position model. The record is from RNAcentral.
AUUGAACGCUGGCGGCAUGCCUAACACAUGCAAGUCGAACGGAAACAGGACGCUGUGAUCCCUUCGGGGUGAACUUGUCGCUGUCGAGUGGCGGACGGGUGAGUAAUGCUUGGGAAUCUGCCCAGUAGUGGGGGACAACACGGGGAAACUCGUGCUAAUACCGCAUACGCCCUACGGGGGAAAGCGGGGGAUCUUCGGACCUCGCGCUAUUGGAUGAGCCCAAGUCGGAUUAGCUUGUUGGUGGGGUAAUGGCCUACCAAGGCGACGAUCUGUAGCUGGUCUGAGAGGACGAUCAGCCACACUGGGACUGAGACACGGCCCAGACUCCUACGGGAGGCAGCAGUGGGGAAUAUUGGACAAUGGGGGCAACCCUGAUCCAGCAAUGCCGCGUGUGUGAAGAAGGCCUGCGGGUUGUAAAGCACUUUCAGUAGAGAAGAAAAGCUUAGGGUUAAUACCCCUGAGUGUUGACGUAACCUACAGAAGAAGCACCGGCUAACUCCGUG